This 235-nucleotide ribosomal RNA is filed under the name uncultured bacterium. RNAcentral's name for it is "partial 16S ribosomal RNA". It matches the Rfam family "Bacterial small subunit ribosomal RNA", at positions 96 to 334 of the family's 1533-position model. The record is from RNAcentral.
CGGCGGACGGGUGAGUAACGCGUAGGAAUCUACCCGGUAGUGGGGGACAACAGUCGGAAACGACUGCUAAUACCGCAUACGCCCUAAGGGGGAAAGCAGGGGAUCUUCGGACCUUGCGCUAUCGGAUGAGCCUGCGUCGGAUUAGCUUGUUGGUGGGGUAAUGGCCUACCAAGGCGACGAUCCGUAGCUGGUCUGAGAGGAUGAUCAGCCACACUGGGACUGAGACACGGCCCAG